This 455-nucleotide ribosomal RNA is filed under the name uncultured bacterium. Its description in RNAcentral is "bacterial SSU rRNA". It matches the Rfam family "Bacterial small subunit ribosomal RNA", at positions 335 to 767 of the family's 1533-position model. The record is from RNAcentral.
ACUCCUACGGGAGGCAGCAGUGGGGAAUAUUGCACAAUGGGCGCAAGCCUGAUGCAGCCAUGCCGCGUGUAUGAAGAAGGCCUUCGGGUUGUAAAGUACUUUCAGCAGUGAGGAAGGUGGGUAUGUUAAUAGCAUACUCAUUUGACGUUAGCUACAGAAGAAGCAAGCCGGCUAACCGUCCGUAGCCCAGUGCCAGCCGCCGGCGUAAAUACGGAGGGUGCGAGCGUUAAUCGGAAUUACUGGGCGUAAAGCGCAUGCAGGUGGUUUGUUAAGUCAGAUGUGAAAGCCCGGGGCUCAACCUCGGAAUUGCAUUUGAAACUGGCAAACUAGAGUACUGUAGAGGGGGGUAGAAUUUGCAGGUGUAGCGGUGAAAUGCGUAGAGAUCUGAAGGAAUACCGGUGGCGAAGGCGGCCCCCUGGCACAGAUACUGACACUCAGAUGCGAAAGCGUGGGGA